CACGUAAGGUUUCUUGAGAUAAAGAAUUAAUUUAUUUGCAAAGUAUUAUAUUUUUCUUAGAUAAAAGCAAAUGGGUUAGUAAUAUUAAAGUAUUUUUUGAUAUAAUUGAGUAAAUCAGUAAUGUUGGCCGCCCUGAUUCGUCAACACAUGGCCUUUCCGAAGCUGACGAACUUUGCGCACUGUACAAUAUUCUUAUUUCUAUUUAUUUUUCCGAAAGUUUUCCUUAUUGUAACUAUUUAACACGAUGAUUUAGACUAAUUUACCCUAAAAUUUGUAUGUACGAUGAAGUUUGCCUCUAUCUUUUAAGAUUCCUUCAUUCGGGUUAGCUUUUGGCAGGAGGACGGACUAUAUAAUGAGGUGAUUCACCACCGGCGCGCAGUAGUCAUUGAGACACAGAGGGAGUAGGUGCUGCCGGUCGUCUUUCUCACCUGACCGGUGCUGUUUUUUAAAUCCAUAUUGGUUGUUACUGUUGUGUUAAAGGCCAGUUUGCUGCCUCAGUGGUCGUCAGUGUGGACAGUACAGCAGCUUAUUUAUUGGGGAUGAUGACUUGAAGAUGGAGGAUGCAAGAAAUGAUAGUUUUAUUCUGAUGAACUCUCCCUGCACUGCACCAAAAAAUGUCAGGUUCUGGACCUUAUUAAGGAGAGGUGUGCACUCUGCUGUACCACUCAUCUUGUACUGCUGUACCAGGAUGGCAAAUGAUUCACAACACAUCUAAAGGAAGCAAGUGCCAAGAUACAGCCCAGACCCAGCCUUCCACCCCUCCUCUCUACCUCAGUAUUGUUCUGAACACUGGAGUGCUGUGCUGCCCUAGGCUGUGCUUACUGGCCACUGCCCUGUACUUGCUGCUGCCCUAGACUUCCCUGUACUUGCUUGCUACUGCCCUGGACUGCUCUGCUCUGUGUAUGCUGGCUGCUGCCCUGGACGG
Molecule: long non-coding RNA, 925 nt
Filed under: Homarus americanus (American lobster)
Lineage: Eukaryota; Metazoa; Arthropoda; Malacostraca; Decapoda; Nephropidae
Description: uncharacterized LOC121863508, transcript variant X1
Source: RNAcentral